Molecule: ribosomal RNA, 449 nt
Filed under: uncultured bacterium
Lineage: Bacteria
Description: partial 16S ribosomal RNA
Rfam family: Bacterial small subunit ribosomal RNA
Source: RNAcentral
GUCGAGAAUCUUUCACAAUGGGGGCAACCCUGAUGGAGCGACGCCGCGUGGAGGAUAAGGUCUUCGGAUUGUAAACUCCUGUCAUGCGUGAACAAGGUUGCUUGGUUAAUACCUGGGCAAAUUGAUGGUAACGCAAGAGGAAGAGACGGCUAACUCUGUGCCAGCAGCCGCGGUAAUACAGAGGUCUCAAGCGUUGUUCGGAAUCACUGGGCGUAAAGGGUGCGUAGGAGGCGUGGUAAGUCAGAUGUGAAAGCCCGGGGCUCAAACUCGGAACUGCAUCCGAUACUGCCAUGCUAAAGUACUGGAGAGGUGACUAGAAUUCUCGGUGUAGCAGUGAAAUGCGUAGAUAUCGAGAGGAAUACCAAAGGCGUAGGCAGGUCACUGGACAGUUACUGACACUGAGGCACGAAGGCCAGGGGAGCGAACGGGAUUAGAUACCCGAGUAGUCC